CCAUGUGACCUACCCAUGAGCAGGGUGAAGGUGAGGUAAAACUCACUGGAGGCCCGAACCAGGGCACGUUGAAAAGUGCUUGGAUGACUUGUGGGUAGCGGAGAAAUUCCAAACGAACUUGGAGAUAGCUGGUUCUCUCCGAAAUAGCUUUAGGGCUAGCGUCGAUGUUAAGUCUCUUGGAGGUAGAGCACUGUUUGAUUGAGGGGUCCAUCCCGGAUUACCAAUAUCAGAUAAACUCCGAAUGCCAAUGAGAUAUAAUCGGCAGUCAGACUGCGAGUGCUAAGAUCCGUAGUCGAAAGGGAAACAGCCCAGACCACCAGCUAAGGUCCCAAAAUAUAUGUUAAGUGGAAAAGGAUGUGGGGUUGCACAGACAACUAGGAUGUUAGCUUAGAAGCAGCUAUUCAUUCAAAGAGUGCGUAAUAGCUCACUAGUCGAGUGACCCUGCGCCGAAAAUGUACCGGGGCUAAAACAUAUUACCGAAGCUGUGGAUACCUUUUAGGUAUGGUAGGAGAGCGUUCUAUGUGUGAAGAAGGUGUACCGUGAGGAGCGCUGGAACGCAUAGAAGUGAGAAUGCCGGUAUGAGUAGCGAAAGACAGGUGAGAAUCCUGUCCACCGUAUGACUAAGGUUUCCAGGGGAAGGCUCGUCCUCCCUGGGUUAGUCGGGACCUAAGGAGAGACCGAAAGGUGUAUCCGAUGGACAACAGGUUGAUAUUCCUGUACUAGAGUAUAUAGUGAUGGAGGGACGCAGUAGGCUAACUAAAGCGUGCGAUUGGAAGUGCACGUCUAAGCAGUGAGGUGUGAUAUGAGUCAAAUGCUUAUAUCUUUAACAUUGAGCUGUGAUGGGGAGCGAAGUUAAGUAGCGAAGUUAGUGAUGUCACACUGCCAAGAAAAGCUUCUAGCGUUAAUUAUACUCUACCCGUACCGCAAACCGACACAGGUAGUCGAGGCGAGUAGCCUCAGGUGAGCGAGAGAACUCUCGUUAAGGAACUCGGCAAAAUGGCCCCGUAACUUCGGGAGAAGGGGCGCUGGCUUUAAGUCAGCCGCAGUGAAUAGGCCCAAGCAACUGUUUAUCAAAAACACAGCUCUCUGCUAAAUCGUAAGAUGAUGUAUAGGGGGUGACGCCUGCCCGGUGCUGGAAGGUUAAGAGGAGCGCUUAGCAUUAGCGAAGGUGUGAAUUGAAGCCCCAGUAAACGGCGGCCGUAACUAUAACGGUCCUAAGGUAGCGAAAUUCCUUGUCGGGUAAGUUCCGACCCGCACGAAAGGCGUAAUGAUUUGGGCACUGUCUCAACGAGAGACUCGGUGAAAUUUUAGUACCUGUGAAGAUGCAGGU
This 1330-nucleotide ribosomal RNA is filed under the name human gut metagenome. RNAcentral describes it as "bacterial LSU rRNA". It matches the Rfam family "Bacterial large subunit ribosomal RNA", at positions 721 to 2066 of the family's 2925-position model. The record is from RNAcentral.